GCUUGUCUCAAAGAUUAAGCCAUGCAUGUCUAAGUAUAAACUGCUUUAUACUGUGAAACUGCGAAUGGCUCAUUAAAUCAGUUAUAGUUUAUUUGAUGGUACUUACUUACUCGGAUAACCGUAGUAAUUCUAGAGCUAAUACAUGCUUCAAGGCCCGACCGCAAGGAAAGGCUGCAUUUAUUAGAUACAACCAACCCGCAAGGUUUUUGGUGAAUCAUAAUAACUUAGCGAACCGUAUGCUUCUGCGACGGUGGUUCAUUCAAGUUUCUGCCCUAUCAGCUUUCGAUGUAGGGUAUUGGCCUACCAUGGCGUUAACGGGUAACGGAGAAUUAGGGUUCGAUUCCGGAGAGGGAGCCUGAGAGAUGGCUACCACAUCCAAGGAAGGCAGCAGG
This 392-nucleotide ribosomal RNA is filed under the name uncultured Bicosoecida. RNAcentral's name for it is "partial small subunit ribosomal RNA". It matches the Rfam family "Eukaryotic small subunit ribosomal RNA", at positions 30 to 432 of the family's 1831-position model. The record is from RNAcentral. Lineage: Eukaryota; Bigyra; Bicosoecida.